UUAAUUUGUGUUUUUGAUAUGUUUUUACAGAAAAGAAAGAAAUUGGAAAGUUAGAGAAAAAGUGAAGAAAAAGCUGGAAAAGUGAUUGGGUCAAAGUGAUUUGCCCAAAUCACUCGCAGAAACUGGCCAAAUCACUCGCAGAGACAAAAAUAGAAACUGGACUGAACCCCAGGAAGCGAUUGGGGCAAAAUGAGCAAGUGAUUUGCCCAAAUCAC
This 215-nucleotide long non-coding RNA is filed under the name Manihot esculenta (cassava). RNAcentral's name for it is "long non-coding RNA (MESC_LNC005453)". Lineage: Eukaryota; Viridiplantae; Streptophyta; Magnoliopsida; Malpighiales; Euphorbiaceae. The record is from RNAcentral.